AUGAAGGCUCUAUUUUGGAAUAUUAGGGGUUUCGGCACUAGGGGGCGCAGGGACCAGCUAAAAGACUUGGUUCGUUCUGAAAAUGUUGAUAUCAUUGGACUUGUCGAGACUCUCAAACCGUCCUUCUCCCCAAAUGAACUCUCAGCCGUUUCUGGGACCGAUAGAUUCGAUUGGAACUGUGUGGCUCAUGUUGGUCAUUCGGGUGGUAUUCUUCUUGGCACUAAGAAAGACGUUUUUGAUUUUGUCGCUUUUGACCAUGGCAUUUUUUGGGCUAGCGCGGUGGUUUCUCACUGA
This 294-nucleotide ribosomal RNA is filed under the name Triticum aestivum (bread wheat). Its description in RNAcentral is "partial small subunit ribosomal RNA". Lineage: Eukaryota; Viridiplantae; Streptophyta; Magnoliopsida; Poales; Poaceae. The record is from RNAcentral.